RNAcentral lists this ribosomal RNA (427 nucleotides) under uncultured bacterium. RNAcentral's name for it is "partial 16S ribosomal RNA". It matches the Rfam family "Bacterial small subunit ribosomal RNA", at positions 355 to 774 of the family's 1533-position model. The record is from RNAcentral.
UGGGGAAUAUUGCACAAUGGGCGCAAGCCUGAUGCAGCCAUGCCGCGUGUAUGAAGAAGGCCUUCGGGUUGUAAAGUACUUUCAGCGAGGAGGAAGGCGUUGUGGUUAAUAACCGCAACGAUUGACGUUACUCGCAGAAGAAGCACCGGCUAACUCCGUGCCAGCAGCCGCGGUAAUACGGAGGGAGCAAGCGUUAAUCGGAAUUACUGGGCGUAAAGCGCACGCAGGCGGUCUGUCAAGUCGGAUGUGAAAUCCCCGGGCUCAACCUGGGAACUGCAUCCGAAACUGGCAGGCUAGAGUCUUGUAGAGGGGGGUAGAAUUCCAGGUGUAGCGGUGAAAUGCGUAGAGAUCUGGAGGAAUACCGGUGGCGAAGGCGGCCCCCUGGACAAAGACUGACGCUCAGGUGCGAAAGCGUGGGGAGCAAACA